CAAUAGCGUAUAUUUAAGUUGUUGCAGUUAAAAAGCUCGUAGUUGGAUUUCGGGUGGGACGCAGCGGUCUCGCAUUGCGUUUGUACUGCUGCAGCCCUUCUUCUUGCCGGGGGCGGCCUCUCGGACUUCACUGUCUGGGGGUCAGAAUCGGCGAUGUUACUUUGAGUAAAUUAGAGUGUUCAAAGCAAGCUUACGCUCUGAAUAUAAUAGCAUGGGAUAACACGACAGGACUCUGGCCUAUCGUGUUGGUCUAUAGGACCAGAGUAAUGAUUAAGAGGGACAGUCGGGGGCAUUCGUAUUCCGUUGUCAGAGGUGAAAUUCUUGGAUUUACGGAAGACGAACAUCUGCGAAAGCAUUUGCCAAGGAUGUUUUCAUUGA
This 378-nucleotide ribosomal RNA is filed under the name uncultured eukaryote. RNAcentral's name for it is "partial 18S ribosomal RNA". It matches the Rfam family "Eukaryotic small subunit ribosomal RNA", at positions 592 to 976 of the family's 1831-position model. The record is from RNAcentral.